AUGAAAGGGGUUUUUUGGAAUUGUAGGGGAGUGGGUAAAAAAGGCAUGUCCACCUGCCUCAUUGACAUGAUAAGUGCCAAUGAAUUGGAUUUUAUUGGACUUCAGGAAACUAUGAAGAAGUCGUAUACUCCUGCUUUCUUUAGGCAAAUUGACCCUUAUCAAAAGUUUCAUUGGGAAUUGAUCCCUUCAAGGGGGAAAUCUGGUGGCAUUCUUUGUGGGCUUAACAAGGAAAAAUUUGAUAUCCUUACGACUAAGUGUGGUAAAUAUAUCCUGCAGCUGAACCUGUUCGAUAAGAACAAAAAUUGUAGCUGGGCCUUGAUGACUGUGUAUGGUGCUGCACAUGAUGAACAGAAGCCUGAAUUCAUUGCUGAACUGUCAUCUAUGUGUCACAACAGUAAUAUUCCUUAUCUAGUUGGGGGAGAUUUUAAUAUCAUUCGGCAUGGUGGGGAGAAGAACAAAAAAACAUCUAUGUCCCACUUCUCGGAGGUGUUUAAUUCUGUUAUUCAUCUACUUGGGUUGAGAGAGAUUUAUAUGACUGGUGGGUGUUACACCUGGUCAAAUAAACAAGAAAUCCCAACUUUGGAAAAGCUAGAUAGAGUUCUCAUGUCUCCUGAGUGGGAGGAUCUAUACCCUCUUGCUUCUGUACAUAAGAUGGUCAAGGAUAUAUCAGAUCACAACCCUUUGUUAGUGGAUGGUGGGAGUGCCUCCUCUAGAACACCAGGUAGAAGGUGUUUUAAAUUUGAUAAUGCUUGGCUCAGUAAUCCAGAAUUCUUCCCUCUGGUUUCUGAGAUCUGGUCGAGGCCUGUAUACACUUCAAACCCCAUUGACUCCUUGAAUAUUAAACUUAAGAGGAUUAAGAAGUUUUUUAAGGGCUGGGGAUCUAAUUUUUUUGGUCACAAUAAGAUCAGGAGAAAAAUUAUCAAGCUCGAGUUGCAGGAGCUUGAAAAACUGGAAGAGACUUAUGGUUUAUGUGGGGAUGCCUACACUAGGAAGUUGGAUAUUCUAGUGGAGCUUAAUAAGAUGUAUGUGGAAGAAGAACUACACUGGCAUCAAUUCUCUAAUGAGAGGUGGCUUCUGAAAGGAGACAAUAACACUGGUUUCUUCCAUAAAGUAGCCAAUGGCCGUCGUAGGAAAAACUCCAUGAUCUCCCUGGAGUGUGGGUCCACUAUUAUUGAGGGCACUAAAAACCUUCUGGUCCAUGCUACUGAAUACUAUAAAUCCUUAUUUGGUCCAGCUCCUGGCAAUUUAUGUCAGAUAGAUGCUGCUCUAUGGUCUCAGGAUGAGAUGAUUACUCCUGGUGACAAUGAGGAAUUAACUCGACCUUUUUCGUUAGAAGAAAUCAAGAAAGCUUUGUUUAGCAUGAAUUCUAACCGUGCCCCUGGUCCAGAUGAUAUUCCUGUAGAAUUCUAUCAACACUGCUGGGAGGUAGUAGCCCAAGACCUUCUAUGCUUAUUUGAUUGGUUUCAUGAUGGCAAGCUAGAUGUACAACGACUUAACUAUGGCAUCAUAACCUUGUUGCCUAAGUCAACUGAUGCUAGUAGGAUCCAACAAUAUAGACCCAUUUGUCUAUUGCGCUGCCCCUACAAACUACUUACAAAAGCCAUGGAUAUUAGAGCUAGCAAAUAUGCACACAAGCUGUUUAGUAUUCACCAGAAUGCUUUUAUUAAGGGGAGACACAUAGUGGAUGGAAUCCUAUCUCUCCAUGAAAUUUUGCAUUAUACUCAUUUCAGAAGGCAGGUGGGAGUGGUUUUGAAACUUGACUUUGAAAAAGCAUAUGACAAAGUCAAUUGGGACUUUUUGCUUGACUGUCAUAGGAAACGUGGGUUUAAUUCUAAGUGGUGUGGGUGGGUCUCGCAAAUACUGAAGAAUGGCACAGUUAGUGUCAAGAUCAAUGAUGAAGUGGGACCUUACAUCCAAAGUGCUAAGGGGGUGAGGCAGGGGGAUCCUCACUCCCCUUUCCUGUUUAAUAUUGCGGCUGACUGUCUGACCAAAAUGGUACUUACAGCACAAAAAAUGGCCUCAUUAAAGGUUUAG
This 2034-nucleotide ribosomal RNA is filed under the name Triticum aestivum (bread wheat). RNAcentral describes it as "partial small subunit ribosomal RNA". The record is from RNAcentral. Lineage: Eukaryota; Viridiplantae; Streptophyta; Magnoliopsida; Poales; Poaceae.